AUCUAUGGCCAUGCCACCCUGAACACGCCCGAUCUCAUCUGAUCUCGGAAGCUAAGCAGAGUCGGCCCAGGUAGUACUUGCUUGGAUGGGAGACCACCUAGGAAGAUGGGGUGCUGUAGGCA
Pteropus vampyrus (large flying fox) is the source of this 122-nucleotide ribosomal RNA. Lineage: Eukaryota; Metazoa; Chordata; Mammalia; Chiroptera; Pteropodidae. The record is from Ensembl.